This 832-nucleotide non-coding RNA is filed under the name Chiasmocleis royi. RNAcentral's name for it is "partial small subunit ribosomal RNA". It matches the Rfam family "Bacterial small subunit ribosomal RNA", at positions 69 to 1413 of the family's 1533-position model. Lineage: Eukaryota; Metazoa; Chordata; Amphibia; Anura; Microhylidae. The record is from RNAcentral.
AGCCUUUAUGUCAUCAAUUACCAGUCUUACACAUGCAAGUAUCAGCACACCCGUGAAAACGCCCUUAACUCCUACAACAGGAACAGGAGCUGGUAUCAGGCACAAUUAUUAAGCCCACAACACCUAGCUACGCCACGCCCAUAAGGGUAUUCAGCAGUGAUAAACAUUGAUUAUAAGCGUCAGCUUGAAUCAGCCAUGGUAAAGAGGGCCGGCAAAUCCGGUGCCAGCCGCCGCGGCUACACCGUUAGGCCCAAGUUGACACACGCCGGCGUUAAGCGUGAUUAAAGUGAUCUGCUAAUUAGAGUUAAACCAAAAUUUAGUCGUGAUGCGCUUAUUUUAUGGAAACCCAAAAACGAAAGUUACUCUAAUCUACCCACUUGACUCCACGACAGCUAGGGCACAAACUGGGAUUAGGUACCCCACUAUGCCUAGCCGUAAAAUAUAUAUUCACACUACAAAUCGCCAGGGAAUUACGAGCCCAAGCUUAAAACCCAAAGGACUUGACGGUGUCCCACCCACCUAGAGGAGCCUGUUCUAUAAUCGAUUCUCCCCGAUAAACCUCACCACUUCUAGCUACUCAGCCUGUAUACCUCCGUCGUAAGCUCACCAUGUGAACGAAAUCAGUGGGCCCAAGGAUCACUCAUCANUACGUCAGGUCAAGGUGCAGCUCACGAACUGGGAAGAAAUGGGYWMMAUUUMUACAAUAGAACAAACGAAAGACUACAUGAAACAUAGUCACUGAAGGCGGAUUUAGUAGUAAAAAGAAAAUAGAGAGUCCUUUUUAACAAGGCGCUGGGACGCGUACACACCGCCCGUCACCCUCUUCAAAUGC